This is a non-coding RNA of Leucoraja erinaceus (little skate), 644 nucleotides long. Lineage: Eukaryota; Metazoa; Chordata; Chondrichthyes; Rajiformes; Rajidae. The record is from the annotation of a RefSeq genome assembly.
GACGAUGCAUCAGAGACGAACUGACGCCAUCACGGAUUGGAUUGGUAAGUGGGAGAAGUAGGCGUGUCUACCUCAUGUUGAAUGCGGCAAUACAUUUGAGAGAGAUUGGAGGAGUGUCGGUGAUCAUAAAUGCACCGCUCCUGCGCUGAUCACUCUCGCUACUGGCUCCGGAGCAACAUGCUUCUGUUACUAAGUCUGAUCCUUUUCUUCCACUAUGGGAUGCUCGUGACCGUUCGGCAGUCUCCCGAAACAUUUUCUGCAUCGCCUGGAGUCGCGGUGGAGUUGACAUGCACCGCAGAUGGAGGGGGCGGCACUGAUGUCAUGCUCUGGUACAGACAAUACCCGGCAGAUGGUCCACGAAUCCUAGUUUACUCCAUGAACAGCGAGCAUCUUGAUCCCUCUAAACCGGUGGACGGUUUCACGGCGAAAAGACCCAAACCCAAUGUCUUCGACCUGACAUUGGACAAUUUGCGGAAUGGUACCCCCGCAAAAUAUCUCUGCGCCUGGAGACUACACAACGACUCAGAGUUUCGGAAGAUCUGAACAAAAACCCCACAGCGGAUCAGACUCUCGAUAUCCGCCAUCGCACAGUUGCGCAGCAGGAAGUGCCGCUGUUCUCAACCGCCAGACAGCCGGGUGCGAUC